AGAAGGUAAAGGAACUUUAGCUUUGAAAUUGCUCUGCUGUGAAAGUAGCUCUAAAUUUGCCUUCGCUAUUAGAUUUGAGACACUGGACUGUCUUGAAUAAUCAGAGUAUAUGAAACUGACUGCUAAUUUUUGUGUUCACUCUACCUUAUUAAUUGGGUGUUUCUGAUAGGGGCUCCAGAUUAAGUCAGCGUAGUCUAAUGAUGGGUUAAUAAGUGUCUUGUAGGCAUUUAAUUUGGCAUGUGGGGGAGGUUUACACAAAUUCCUUUCUAAAAAAAAGAUUUCGCCUUCGGCACUCUAACAUGGAGGAGAUAUGAGGUUCCCAGUUAAGGUUGGACACGAGGUUAAGGCCCAAGUAUUUUACCUGGUUCUAUUUGUCGAUUGCAUAGGCUUUAUAUCGUCUUGUAAGAGUUUGUUAUCAGAUUUGUCCGAAAUUUCACGGAGGAUAACAGUUAUCUGCAAAAAGGUAAAUAUUAGAACAAACGCCAUUGGGUAAAUCGUUAAUGUAAAUUAAGAAAAGAAGAGGGCCUAUGACUUAUCCUUGGGGCACACCAGAGUCUGCAGGAUUAGGUGGGGACAUAUGAUUGUUUGACACAACAUACUGUGACCGAUUAAGGAGAAAAUACACAAGCCAUGCAAACGGGUUAGGAUCAAGAUUAAGUUUGCUAAGUUUAAAUAGAAGCAAUUUAUGACACACUUUGUCAAAGGCCUUGGCAAAAUCAAAGAAAAACUCUGGGAAUUAAGCUUUGUCGAGAAGAAGGUGAAGGCUGUGAGUAAAAAAAAGAUGUUGAGUUUCGCAAGACACGUUUUCUCGGAAACCAUGUUGUGCUUUUGUGAAAAAUGAAUUAUUGUCUAAGUGCUCUUCUAAAUGUGAGUGCAAAAUAUGUUCAAGAACCUUGCAAGAAAUGCUGGUGAGGGAAAUGGGGUGGUAGUUGAGGGGCGAAUGUUUGCUACCGGACUUAUGAAGUGGGACCACCUCCCCGACCUUCCGCUCUGGAGGUAGCGGAUGGGUAUCUAAGGAUUGCUGAAAAAUUUUCUGAAGCAGAACAGAUGAAUAAACGACAGUAUUUUUGAGAAAUUUCACGUUAACCAAAUCAGCACCAGGACUUGAUGACAACUUCAGAUGUUUAAUUACAUUUUCGACCCCGAGAGGUUCAAUGAUAAAGCCCAUAGGUGGGUAAUUGCAACACUCGAGAGUUGGAAGCACAGGGUUACUACAUACGACAAAGUUGUUGCAGAACACAGAAUUAAGGAUAUGGGGUUAUACAUCUUCUGGUACCGGUGAACCACUAGAAUCAAUCAAUGUGACUGAAUUAUCUUUGGAAGGGUUAAUAACAUGCCAAAACUUUUUAGGGUCAUUCACAAGCAUUGUGGGCAAAGUGUGUACUUGGAAUGCCUUUUUGGCCAGUUUUAUAGCUUCUGUGAUCUGCCAGCGUCGCGGCGAGCCGUGAUUCGAGAAAAUAAUGAAGCAAAAGGAAACGUUUAACGCAGCUGACGUUUUCUCGGACCGCAACUCGUUCCUCGAGCAUACAGACCAGCUGACUACGAACCGAAUCCCUUUCCUGGUUCCUGGAUCAGCCCAAACAAGGAAGGUUGAACUAACGAAGGAGCAGCGAUGCGCGUGACCGUUGAAUAGAUGGUGACAACUGAACUCGUCUCGAGUUAAUCGCGCAGGCACCGAAUCGAUGAGAAAACUGGCCUUCACGCCGCUGAAGAUGCCGAUAACUGCUGCCAUCAAAGGAGUGAAAAAAUUUACAACCAUUCGACUCUGUGAAGAUGGAAUGGCAGCGAGAGCUGACGACAGUCAAAGCUCUCAACGAAAAGCAAAGUGCUUCACCCACUUAAGGGGAGUGCUUAACGCCUGGUUCACCUCCGCCGUGGGUAGGCCCGGCAUUGCACUACCUUUGGAUGGACCCACGUAUGCUGAGCACUCAACGCCUGCUUCACCUCCGCAGUGGGUGGGUCCAGUAUUGCACAUUAUUCGGGAUCGGCCCACGUAUGGGGAGUGCUUAAUGCCUGCUUCACCUCCGCCGCGGGUCGACCCGACUACAGUGUACUAGAAGAGUAGGCCCGACGGUAGUGCAAUACUGGGCCCACUGGCGGCGGAGUUGAAGCAGGCGUUUAGCACUCCCCAUACGUGGGCCCAUCCCAAAGAUUUCGAAGGGUGCGUUACAGGUUCACAAUGUGCAAAAAAGAAGUGAGGCGUGCAGACAGGACACAAGAGUUAAUCUCCGCAUCUGUCAAUAAAAGCCGACUCUUGCAGUUGUCCUUUAAUGCACUCAUUUACUGAAUUUAGCAACCCGUCAUGCGGCAAGGAAUAAUACAGGUCUUCGAUAUCCAUACUAAAAGCUGUACAAUCACCAGGAUUUUCCUCUCUCAAAUAUUGAACUAGUGCCUGAGAAUUACGUAAGCAAAAGGGGUCUGAAAAAACUAAUGAAGCUAAGCAGUUCUGUAGGAAACUAGCGACGCAGACCUGCCAUGCCCCUUUCUCUGACACUAUAGCACGAAACGGAAUUUCUUGUUUAUGGGUCUUGGCCGAGAAAAACAGUUCUAAGGUGAGGGAUUUAGCUUUCUUGACAUUACAGACAACCCUAUCAAGAUUAUGUCUUGACAAGAGGUCAACCGCACGUUGCAUGCUUAACUGCCGAAGGCUUGAGUUUUACUGACUGUAAAUUCUUUUCUAUGGCUGAAAUCGCUUUUUGUGAAAACAUGUCAUCUGGCACAAUUACGAAAUAACCUUCCUUGUCAGAUAUUACUGGUCUAAGUUUAUGCUCCACAAGGUAAUCAACUAACGGUCGGACAGGGUCAGACGUCUUAAAAUGAGAAUUUGAUUGUUUAAUGCUAGCAAUGCAAUCCGAAACACAGCGUGAGCGUUCUUCUUCCGGGACGAACCUGGUUAUUCAGCGCGGUAUGCUUAAAACGUCAACGGGUUUUAUGUUAGGCUUAAAACAGUGCUUAGGACCUAAAGCAAGGGUUCUUCUAUGGUUAUC
Molecule: long non-coding RNA, 2987 nt
Filed under: Dermacentor andersoni
Lineage: Eukaryota; Metazoa; Arthropoda; Arachnida; Ixodida; Ixodidae
Description: uncharacterized LOC126521206
Source: RNAcentral